CAGUAUAAUAUCCUGUUUCCCCAUUCUGGUGCUUGACUUUGGCCGCUGCCCCGUCGGAAAUGGAUUACACUAACCCAGUGUGCAGACCGAAGAUGCAAUAGUCGUGUAUUUCUUCUUGCAUGCAGCACAGUAAACCAUGGUGCUGUUCCACACGGCACCCUAAUAAUAGCAGAGUUCUGUUUUAAAUGGCCGUAUGCGUUGAAGCCGAUAAGAUAAGGAGCCUUUAGAUUGCAAAACCUCAGAUCUAGAGCGUGCCUAAAACAUCAGACAGGACGAUGAGGCUAGAUCGGGAAAAGGGGAACAAUGGAGGAGACCUAACAUGCACACUCAUGGAACUGCAAGAUAAUGUGUCCACUUGAGGUAAGCCAAUGCUGAUGCUUAUACGACGCUGAUUAUGUUGGUGGGUUUUGGAAGAUGUGUGUCCUUUGUGAGUGUCUGCUGUGUCACCGACUCCCCCAGUUUCUAAUCCUUGCUGGAUCACGGGCCCUGAACACAGCCAGCACUGCAGUAAAAUGUGAGUGCCAAGUCACUAGGCAUUCCACUGUCUGCACGUCCCGUCCUGAACACCACGGCACAGACACAAAAACCCACAAACUCACACACAACCAUCGAAAGCAUGUCAAUGUCAAAUUUCAUCCAAAAAUCAAAGAUUCACUAGCUACAGGACCUAUGCAUCACACGUCAUGCAAUACAAAAAGCAAUUCAAGUUCAUGGGCAUAAGAAAAGUUUCUGGGCCAGGACAUCAGCAUCGACUACCAGGGGCCUUUCAGAAAAGAGAUUCAGACAGCUCCAGGUCUAGGCUGGACUUGAGUAAGACAGUCUGGUCUGAUGUGAGGGAAGGGUUGACUGACUGGCUGCCUGUACUCCAGACUGCAGUAGACCCAUUUCCAGCAAGACAUGGCUAUAUAGAGCUUUGAGAUCUUCGGUUACAGUUCAGUCUAACAACAAUACGUAAUCGCAAGCAGGUCCAAAGUAAGGGCGCAUUAAGUCUAGUUCUCAUGUAACAUGACACUAAUGUAAAAUGUGAUCAAAUUGUGUUUUAACGGUGGGAAUGAGUGCAUCUGAUCAACUAUAGAGGUGUGUUUGUCUGGGAAUACAGCAGAAAAGGCAGAGUUGAGGAAAAAUGUGCGCAGCCCCCACAACAACCAGCAAAAUUCAACUAAUGCAUAGAGUUGUGUUUCAAAGCCAUCAUAAGAAUUUACGCGCAUUAUUAUUAUUUUAUUUAAUCGACCAAGUCUUUUAAAUACAGCGAGAACGCAUGCGUUUUUAACAAAUAAAUCACAUUUUUGGGGGAGCUUGACGAAUACUUUAAUACGCCACAGACAAAUUGGGUGUGCAAGUGAGAUACUGACAAAUAACGGUCAAAUAUUUUAAUAAUUCAGCGUGGGAAUGUUAUAUAUAUAUACAUACGUGUAGACGU
This is a long non-coding RNA of Paramisgurnus dabryanus, 1420 nucleotides long. RefSeq lists it as uncharacterized. NCBI's taxonomy places the organism in Eukaryota, Metazoa, Chordata, Actinopteri, Cypriniformes, Cobitidae. The record is from RefSeq and is a predicted model, not a curated record.